GUGCAUGAACGCGGCCUCAAUCGCGAUAUUUAAAUGAUAACCCCAAUCCUCAGAGCUACCACGUGCACUGUAAGCAAAAGUUAAGGCUUUCAAGGUUUUUCUUUUAUUAUCGUUUUGUGUUCAUUUUCAAAGCAUAUUGAGGACCUCCUAAAGAAGCUGUAGUAUAAUUGUUUAAUAAACAGAUGGGUUCGUUCAACUUUAAUACCUCCGCUCACAAAAAGCUUGCGCACCUUUUCGAUUGGAACACCUAAAGAAUACUGACCUUUGAGCUAGAGAAAAAAAAGUGGACGUGGCCCACCCCCUUUUCCGGAUUUUAACGGCAUUUUUUUUUUGUGCAAAUUGACGGGCGGCGAUAGCGGGGGCUUAACGUGGAAUUUUCAACAUUUUCAAAAGCUUAUAUUUCGAAAACUAUUGAACCAGUUAUUGGACACAGUUGGAAAGGUGAUUGAAGGGCCUUUCGUUCGAUAUAUAUAUAUCUAUAUAUAUAAUGUAUACACAUUACGAGAAAAGAUAUGUUUAUCAGCAACAGCACAGAAAUAAUUUGAUAUAUGACUUGUAGCAAAAAAUUCUUGUGGACAUCAUAUUUGACUAAAUAUAUAUAAAAAUAUAGUUUUAUAUGAAAAAGGAAAAGCGCCGCAGG
Long non-coding RNA from Rhagoletis pomonella (apple maggot), 640 nucleotides. RefSeq lists it as uncharacterized. The record is from RefSeq and is a predicted model, not a curated record. The transcript is spliced from 2 exons. NCBI's taxonomy places the organism in Eukaryota, Metazoa, Arthropoda, Insecta, Diptera, Tephritidae.